AUUGAACGCUGGCGGCUGGCCUAACACAUGCAAGUCGAACGGAUGAAGGGAGCUUGCUCCUGGAUUCAGCGGCGGACGGGUGAGUAAUGCCUAGGAAUCUGCCUGGUAGUGGGGGAUAACGUCCGGAAACGGGCGCUAAUACCGCAUACGUCCUGAGGGAGAAAGUGGGGGAUCUUCGGACCUCACGCUAUCAGAUGAGCCUAGGUCGGAUUAGCUAGUUGGUGGGGUAAAGGCCUACCAAGGCGACGAUCCGUAACUGGUCUGAGAGGAUGAUCAGUCACACUGGAACUGAGACACGGUCCAGACUCCUACGGGAGGCAGCAGUGGGGAAUAUUGGACAAUGGGCGAAAGCCUGAUCCAGCCAUGCCGCGUGUGUGAAGAAGGUCUUCGGAUUGUAAAGCACUUUAAGUUGGGAGGAAGGGCAGUAAGUUAAUACCUUGCUGUUUUGACGUUACCAACAGAAUAAGCACCGGCUAACUUCGUG
Molecule: ribosomal RNA, 484 nt
Filed under: uncultured bacterium
Lineage: Bacteria
Description: partial 16S ribosomal RNA
Rfam family: Bacterial small subunit ribosomal RNA
Source: RNAcentral